Molecule: unclassified non-coding RNA, 202 nt
Filed under: plant metagenome
Description: partial contains small subunit ribosomal RNA and internal transcribed spacer 1
Rfam family: Eukaryotic small subunit ribosomal RNA (bases 1-54)
Source: RNAcentral
GAAAGUAAAAGUCGUAACAAGGUCUCCGUUGGUGAACCAGCGGAGGGAUCAUUAAAAAGGGUCCAAGGACACCUUCAACCUACCGUGCUCCCACUGUGGAAACCCGAAAAACAGGAAGCCCUCGCUGGCACAAGUUUUCUGAGAAUCAGCGCCCCGGCGCGGAAAAUAAUUACAACCCAUAACAAUGGAUCUCUUGGCUCUG